Molecule: ribosomal RNA, 320 nt
Filed under: uncultured eukaryote
Lineage: Eukaryota
Description: partial 18S ribosomal RNA
Rfam family: Eukaryotic small subunit ribosomal RNA
Source: RNAcentral
CCCCUAGAUGUUCUGGGCCGCACGCGCGCUACACUGAACAGUUCAACAAGUCUUAACCUUGGCCGAUAGGUCUGGGUAAUCUUUGAACGCUGUUCGUGAUUGGGAUAGACCUUUGCAAUUAUGGGUCUUCAACGAGGAAUUCCUAGUAAACGCAAGUCAUCAGCUUGCAUUGAUUACGUCCCUGCCCUUUGUACACACCACCCGUCGCACCUACCGAUUGAAUGGUCCGGUGAAAUCUCGGGACGGCGGCUUGGUCGCUUGCGUCCGACUGCUGAAACUUGAUUAAACCAUAUCAUUUAGAGGAAGGUGAANUCGUAACA